Ovis aries (sheep) is the source of this 71-nucleotide transfer RNA. It matches the Rfam family "tRNA". Rfam says of the family: Transfer RNA (tRNA) molecules are approximately 80 nucleotides in length. The record is from Rfam. NCBI's taxonomy places the organism in Eukaryota, Metazoa, Chordata, Mammalia, Artiodactyla, Bovidae.
UCCCAGGUGGCUCAGUGGUAAAGAAUUUGCCUACUAAGCAGGAGACACAGGUUCAGUUCCUGGGUUGGGAA